Molecule: long non-coding RNA, 853 nt
Organism: Apus apus (common swift)
Lineage: Eukaryota; Metazoa; Chordata; Aves; Apodiformes; Apodidae
Exons: 5
Source: RefSeq, a predicted model, not a curated record
GGUUUUGCUGUUUGCUGACUGUGGUUACCCUAUAAUCACAGAAGACCAAAGAAGGAGGAGGGGAGGCUCAUUGUCUCUGACAGCUCAAAGAAAUGGAGCAAAGAAUAUUUAUCCUCUACAACAACCCACAGGGGAGAUGAAAUUCUGCACAGCGGAUGCUAAAUCUGUCAAGCAAAUCAGUCUUUAGUCACUGCAAGAUUUUACAGAGAAGCCUGCAACAGUGAAAAUGAGCAAGAAAUAGAGCCACAGAAAUACUCUGCUUGGAAGUUACUUAAGCAGCUGAGGUUCAGAAGGAUCUGGGGGUCUCAGAAUUGGAGGAUUGCCAAUUCUAAGUAAGAGUGCAUGUCACUGUUCAAGACAAUGUCCCUGCAGAUAACUCAGGUGAGCAAGAAGCAGCAGAGCUUGCUGGAUAAGACACUGGAAAAGGUCUCUGAAGACCUGGAUUUUGCUUCUGUCUCCAGCCCAGGCACACUGAGCAGCUGUGGGUGCUAUGAAGCAAUGACAUGGAAAUAUUUAAGGCUCUCCUAGCUUGUCUGCAAGGACACAUCACUUCCAUGUUGUUGGUGGGGCCACAGAGGAUCUAAUCCAGUAAAUGAGGCUGGGACAACAUGAUUUCCCCCACUUUUUUUUUCACUGAAAAUCAAAAUACAAUUAGUAGUGUUUGCCAUGCAAAAAACUAACCAAACUAGCUGUCCUUAUCUGUACUUGUUGGGGUCACAGACUUAAGUAGCAAAAGUAGAUUAUGAAGGCACAAGGAUUUGGGUGGAAUAACUGGAAGUGUGGCAUGGAGCUGGUUAAUGGUCCAAAGCAUGGAUGGCAGCACACCAAGACCUCACCUGUGGGUCACUGGAGG